GGUGGCACCCCGAAUGGAAUAAUUUGGAAUCCGGUGCAAAUCCGGGACAGUACCUGCUGCUGUAAAUCCCUAAUUAUAAGUCCGAUGCACUCUCUGCCACUGGCCUGACAGGCUGGGAAGGCGUACCGGACGGGAUGAGUCAGAAGACCUGCCAAUGAUGAUG
Molecule: non-coding RNA, 163 nt
Filed under: bovine gut metagenome
Source: RNAcentral